AUACGGAGGGUGCGAGCGUUAAUCGGAAUUACUGGGCGUAAAGCGUACGUAGGCGGUUGGUUAAGUUAGAUGUGAAAGCCCCGGGCUUAACCUGGGAACUGCAUUUAAAACUGGCGAACUCGAGUUGAGUAGAGGGGAGUGGAAUUUCAGGUGUAGCGGAGAAAUGCGUAGAGAUCUGAAGGAACAACAGUGGCGAAGGCGACUCCCUGGACUCGAACUGACGCUGAGGUACGAAAGCGUGGGUAGCAAACGGGAUUAGAAACCCUAGUAGUCC
Molecule: ribosomal RNA, 274 nt
Filed under: uncultured bacterium
Lineage: Bacteria
Description: partial 16S ribosomal RNA
Rfam family: Bacterial small subunit ribosomal RNA
Source: RNAcentral